AGAGAACCUGCACACAGGUGCUGCAUGGCUGUCGUCAGCUCGUGUCGUGAGAUGUUGGGUUAAGUCCCGCAACGAGCGCAACCCUUGUCAUUAGUUGCUACGAAAGAGCACUCUAAUGAGACUGCCGGUGACAAACCGGAGGAAGGUGGGGAUGACGUCAAGUCCUCAUGGCCCUUAUGGGUAGGGCUUCACACGUCAUACAAUGGUACAUACAGAGGGCCGCCAACCCGCGAGGGGGAGCUAAUCCCAGAAAGUGUAUCGUAGUCCGGAUUGUAGUCUGCAACUCGACUGCAUGAAGUUGGAAUCGCUAGUAAUCGCGGAUCAGCAUGUCGCGGUGAAUACGUUCCCGGGUCUUGUACACACCGCCCGUCACACCAUGGGAGCGGGUUUUACCAGAAGUAGGUAGNUUANCCGCAAGGAGGGCGCUUAC
Molecule: ribosomal RNA, 430 nt
Filed under: maize root bacterium ZmrIs25
Lineage: Bacteria
Description: bacterial SSU rRNA
Rfam family: Bacterial small subunit ribosomal RNA
Source: RNAcentral